Molecule: ribosomal RNA, 253 nt
Filed under: uncultured bacterium
Lineage: Bacteria
Description: partial 16S ribosomal RNA
Rfam family: Bacterial small subunit ribosomal RNA
Source: RNAcentral
UACGUAGGGUGCGAGCGUUUAUCGGAAUUACUGGGCGUAAAGGGCUCGUAGGCGGCCAACUAGGUCAGACGUGAAAUCCCUCAGCUUAACUGGGGAACUGCGUCUGAUACUGGAUGGCUUGGAUUUGGGAGAGGGAUGCGGAAUUCCAGGUGUAGCGGUGAAAUGCGUAGAUAUCUGGAGGAACACCGGUGGCGAAGGCGGCAUCCUGGACCAACAUUGACGCUGAGGAGCGAAAGUGUGGGGAGCGAACAGG